CCCUCUGGCAAAAUGCCAGGUGCCAUCUUGACUUGUUUACAGACCCUAACAAUUAAGGAAACUGGCUACAACUCUGGCAAAGUAGCAUUUGUGCCAAUUUCUGGAUGGAAUGGUGACAACAUGUUGGAGCCAAGUGUUUAUACUCUUGGUUCAAGGGAUGAAAAAUCACCUGUAAAGAUGGCAGUGCCAGUGGAACCACACUACUUGAAGCUUUAGAUUGCAUCCUGCCACCAACUCGUCCAAUUGACAAGCCUUUGCAUCUGCCCUCCCAGGAUAUCUACAAAAUUGGUGGUAUCAGUACUAUCCCUGUGGGCCAAGUGGAGACUGGUAUUCUCAAGCCUGGUGGUCACCUUUGCUCCAGUCAAUGUCACAACUGAAGUUGUGCACCAUGAAGCUCUGAGUGAAGCUCUUCCUGGAGACAAUGUGCUUCAAUGUCAAGAAUGUGUCUGUCAAAGAUGCUCAUCAUGGCAAUGUUGCUGGUGACAGCAAAAAUGACCAGCCAAGAGAAACAGUUGAUUUCACUGCUCAGGUGAUCAUCCUGAACCAUCCGGGCCAAAUCAGGGCUGGCUAUGCCCCUGUACUAGAUCGUCACACAGCUCACAUUGCUUGUAAGUAUGCUGAGCUGGAAGAAAAAAAUUGAUCACCAUUCUAGUAAGAAGCUGGAAGAUGGUCCUAAAUCCUUUGAAUCUGGUGAUGCUGCCAUCAUUGAUAUGAUUCCAGGAAAACCUAUGUGUGUCUAGAGCUUCUUGGACUAUCCUCCUCUGGGUCAUUUUGCUGUUCAGCAUAUGAGGCAGACAGUUGCUGUGGGUGUCAUCAAAGCAAUGGACAAGAAGGCUGCUGAAGCUGGCAAGGUCACCAAGUCUGCCCAGAAAGCUUAGAGGGCUAAAUGAAUAUUACCCCUAAUACCUGCCACCUCAGUCUUAAGUGGAAGAACAGUUUGUCUCAAUUGGCCAUUUAAGUUUAAUUGUAAAAGACUGGUUAAUGAUAACAAUGCAUCAUAAAACCUUUGGAAGGAAAGGAGAAUGUUUUGUGGACCAUUUGUUUUUUGUGUGUGUGGCAGUUUUAAGUUGUUAGUUUUUAAAACUAAUACUAGUACUUUUUGUUGGAAACAACUUGAC
RNAcentral lists this long non-coding RNA (1118 nucleotides) under Marmota monax (woodchuck). The record is from RNAcentral. Lineage: Eukaryota; Metazoa; Chordata; Mammalia; Rodentia; Sciuridae.